UUAUUUUUGACAAAAGUAUUUUUAGCUUUUUUUUUUAGAUUGCAGCAGCUCCAUUAAAAUUGGAAAAAAUUAACUCAAGAACAUCAAAAAAAUUCGAAAAUCUCAACAAUGUAGUCUUCUUUAAAUUUAAAUGAAUUAACAUACUGACUAAAUUAAAGUCAUUAUGUUGCUUAAAUAUUAAGUUUUUAAUAUUUAAGCAAACUUUUUGCAGGUAGUAGAUGAAAAUUAUUAGAAUAGAUGAGAAUUAUUCUUCACCACAAAUCCCUAACAAGAUCAUGAUUGAGAAAAGAACAAUCCUCUGCUCAAUUAACAACUGUUAGUACCAAGAUAGAAGCAAUACAGUAUUCUGAAAAAAAUCGGCAUAAUUAAAAGACUUCCACAAACAUCAAAACACAGGAAUUUUUUGCCAAAUCAAUUAAUAAGAGGCAAGAUAAAACAUGGCCACACUAGAAACCUUGUGGUACCUCUUAUGGCACACAUAUUACAUCAGGUAAUGAACCUGCAAGAUUAACCACUUAAGUUUUCCCUCCAACAAACCAGAUAUCCACUGAAGAAGAAAAUCUGCAAUUUAAAAAAUUCAGCUUCCCUUAGAGGACCUCAUUUAAAACAUUUAUUCACGUCAGAAUCACAAAAAUAUUUAAUUAUAAAAAAUAAAUUGCCCAAUAUCCAAAAACAAAAUCUGAGAAAUAAAAAAAAUUAUAUGAA
Anthonomus grandis grandis is the source of this 705-nucleotide long non-coding RNA. RefSeq lists it as uncharacterized. Lineage: Eukaryota; Metazoa; Arthropoda; Insecta; Coleoptera; Curculionidae. The transcript is spliced from 3 exons. The record is from RefSeq and is a predicted model, not a curated record.